UACGGGAGGCAGCGGUGGGGAAUAUUGCACAAUGGGCGAAAGCCUGAUGCAGCUAUGCCGCGUGUAUGAAGAAGGCCUUAGGGUUGUAAAGUACUUUCAUCGGGGAGGAAAAAAACAAAACUAAUAAUUUUAUUUCUUGACGUUACCCGAAAAAGAAGCACCGGCUAACUCCGUGCCAGCAGCCGCGGUAAUACGGAGGGUGCUAGCGUUAAUCAGAAUUACUGGGCGUAAAGAGCACGUAGGUGGUUUUUUUAAAGUCAGAUGUGAAAUCCCUGGGCUUAACCUAGGAACUGCAUUUUGAAACUGAAAUACUAGAGUAUCGUAGAGGGAGGUAGAAUUCUAGGUGUAGCGGUGAAAUGCGUAGAUAUCUGGAGGAAUACCUGUGGCGAAAGCGGCCUCCUAAACGAAUACUGACACUGAGGGUGCGAAAAGCGUGGGGAGCAAAACAGGGAUUAGAUACC
This 461-nucleotide ribosomal RNA is filed under the name uncultured bacterium. RNAcentral describes it as "bacterial SSU rRNA". It matches the Rfam family "Bacterial small subunit ribosomal RNA", at positions 340 to 786 of the family's 1533-position model. The record is from RNAcentral.